GCCGGAUACAGUGGCAUGCACCUGUAGUCCCAGUUACUUGGGAGGCAGAGGCAGGAGAAUCGUUUGAGCACAGGAAUUCUGGGCUCUAGCGUGCUAUGCCAAUCAGGUGUCUGCACUAAAUUCAACAUCAGUGUGGUGAUCUCCCAGGAGCAGAGGACUACCAGGUUGCCUAAGGAAAAGUGAACUGCCAGGUUGGAAAUAAAAGAGGCCAAAAUUCCUGGGCUGGACAGCAGUGAGAUCACACCUGUGAACAGUCUCUGCACUCCAGCCUAGGUUACAUAGCAAGACCCCAUCACA
RNAcentral lists this signal recognition particle RNA (297 nucleotides) under Pongo abelii (Sumatran orangutan). It matches the Rfam family "Metazoan signal recognition particle RNA". From Rfam's summary of the family: The signal recognition particle (SRP) is a universally conserved ribonucleoprotein. It is involved in the co-translational targeting of proteins to membranes. Lineage: Eukaryota; Metazoa; Chordata; Mammalia; Primates; Hominidae. The record is from RNAcentral.